RNAcentral lists this ribosomal RNA (253 nucleotides) under uncultured bacterium. RNAcentral's name for it is "partial 16S ribosomal RNA". It matches the Rfam family "Bacterial small subunit ribosomal RNA", at positions 524 to 776 of the family's 1533-position model. The record is from RNAcentral. RNAcentral also lists the same sequence under 1 other name.
CACGUAGGGGGCUAGCGUUGUCCGGAAUCAUUGGGCGUAAAGCGCGUGUAGGCGGCCAGAUAAGUCCGGUGUGAAAGUCAAAGGCUCAACCUUUGAAUGCCGCUGGAAACUGUCUGGCUAGAGUCCGGAAGGGGCGAGUGGAACUCCUGGUGUAGCGGUGAAAUGCGCAGAUAUCAGGAAGAACACCUAUGGCGAAGGCAGCUCGCUGGGACGGUACUGACGCUGAGACGCGAAAGCGUGGGGAGCGAACAGG